AGGAAGGCAGACCCAGGGAACUGAAACAUCUAAGUACCUGGAGGAAGAGAAAGAAAAAUCGAUUUCCUGAGUAGCGGCGAGCGAAACGGAAAGAGCCCAAACCAAGAAGCUUGCUUCUUGGGGUUGUAGGACACUCUAUACGGAGUUACAAAAGAAAGUUAUAAAUGAAGCGGUCUGGAAAGGCCCGCCAAAGACGGUAACAGCCCGGUAGUUGAAAUGGCUUUCCCUCCAGAGUGGAUCCUGAGUACGGCGGAACACGUGAAAUUCCGUCGGAAUCCGGGAGGACCAUCUCCCAAGGCUAAAUACUCCCUAGUGACCGAUAGUGAACCAGUACCGUGAGGGAAAGGUGAAAAGCACCCCGGAAGGGGAGUGAAACAGUUCCUGAAACCGUGUGCCUACAAGUAGUUAGAGCCCGUUAAUGGGUGAUAGCGUGCCUUUUGUAGAAUGAACCGGCGAGUUACGAUUUGUUGCAAGGUUAAGCGGAAAAAGCGGAGCCGUAGCGAAAGCGAGUCUGAAUAGGGCGCAUAAGUAACAGGUCGUAGACCCGAAACCAGGUGAUCUACCCAUGUCCAGGAUGAAGGUAAGGUAAUACUUACUGGAGGUCCGAACCCACGCACGUUGAAAAGUGCGGGGAUGAGGUGUGGGUAGCGGAGAAAUUCCAAUCGAACUUGGAGAUAGCUGGUUCUCUCCGAAAUAGCUUUAGGGCUAGCCUCGAGGUAAAGAGUCAUGGAGGUAGAGCACUGUUUGGACUAGGGGCCCUUCUCGGGUUACCGAAUUCAGAUAAACUCCGAAUGCCAUGUACUUAUACUCGGGAGUCAGACUGCGAGUGAUAAGAUCCGUAGUCGAAAGGGAAACAGCCCAGACCACCAGUUAAGGUCCCCAAAUAUAUGUUAAGUGGAAAAGGAUGUGGGGUUGCUUAGACAACCAGGAUGUUGGCUUAGAAGCAGCCACCAUUGAAAGAGUGCGUAAUAGCUCACUGGUCGAGUGACCCCGCGCCGAAAAUGUACCGGGGCUAAACAUAUUACCGAAACUGUGGAUGAACCUCUUUAGAGGUUCGUGGUAGGAGAGCGUUCUAAGGGCGGUGAAGUCAGACCGGAAGGACUGGUGGAGCGCUUAGAAGUGAGAAUGCCGGUAUGAGUAGCGAAAGAAGGGUGAGAAUCCCUUCCACCGAAUAUCUAAGGUUUCCUGAGGAAGGCUCGUCCGCUCAGGGUUAGUCGGGACCUAAGCCGAGGCCGAUAGGCGUAGGCGAUGGACAACAGGUAGAGAUUCCUGUACCAGUGCUAAUUGUUUAACCGAUGGGGUGACACAGAAGGAUAGGGAAUCGCACGAAUGGAAAUGUGCGUCCAAGCAGUGAGUGUGAGAAGUAG
RNAcentral lists this ribosomal RNA (1367 nucleotides) under Listeria monocytogenes. RNAcentral describes it as "partial 23S ribosomal RNA". It matches the Rfam family "Bacterial large subunit ribosomal RNA", at positions 173 to 1535 of the family's 2925-position model. The record is from RNAcentral. Lineage: Bacteria; Bacillati; Bacillota; Bacilli; Caryophanales; Listeriaceae.